CCUACGGGGGGCAGCAGUGGGGAAUAUUGCACAAUGGGCGAAACCCUGAUGCAGCGACGCCGCGUGAGUGAAGAAGUAUCUCGGUAUGUAAAGCUCUGUCAGCAGGGAAGAAAAUGUCGGUACCUGUCCAAGAAGCCCCGGCUAACUACGUGCCAGCAGCCGCGGGAAUACGUAGGGGGCCAGCGUUAUCCGGAUUUACUGGGUGUAAAGGGAGCGUAGACGGCAGGGCAAGUCUGGAGUGAAAGGCGGGGGCUCAACCCCCGGACUGCUCUGGAAACUGCCAGGCUGGAGUGCAGGAGAGGUAGGUGGAAUGCGUAGUGUAGCGGUGAAAUGCGUAGAUAUUAGGAAGAACACCAGUGGCGAAGGCGGCUUACUGGACUGUAACUGACGUUGAGGCUCGAAAGCGUGGGGAGCAAACAGGAUUAGAUACCCCUGUAGUC
RNAcentral lists this ribosomal RNA (440 nucleotides) under uncultured bacterium. Its description in RNAcentral is "partial 16S ribosomal RNA". It matches the Rfam family "Bacterial small subunit ribosomal RNA", at positions 338 to 795 of the family's 1533-position model. The record is from RNAcentral.